UCCAGCCUAGCCAAGCUGCUUGGAGUUUAUAAACCAGGCCCUUACAGUGAGAACUGAGCUGAAUCAGACAGACAGAGGUCGUAUGAUGGAGUCACACACCUAUGUCCUCAUGUCUCUGUUUGUCUUGGUGUCUGGUGUGUGUGCAGAUAUCAUGAUGACCCAGUCUCCAUCCUCCCUGGCUGUAUCAGUAGGAGAGAAGGUUACCAUCAGCUGCAGGUCCAGUCAGAGUCUUUUAAACAUUGGAACCCAGAAGAAUUACUUGAAUUGGUACCAGCAGAAACCAGGGCAGUCUCCUAAAUUGCUGAUCUACUAUGCCUACACUCGGGACACUGGGGUCCCUGAUCGCUUCAUAGGCAGUGGAUCAGCAACAGAUUUCACUCUUACCAUUAACAGUGUCCAGGCUGAAGAUCUGGCGGUUUAUUACUGUCAGCAGGAUUUCCUCUAUUCCACGGUGCUUCAGCCCCCAACACAAACCUCCUUUGAGACUCUCACCAGCUGCCUGUAUCCUGCACAGCCCUGACCUAUACACUUCCCCUUUUUGUCUGAGAACCCAAACUUUCAUGAAACACUUAUGAAAAUGUUUGUAGAGUCCAGCAAAUUAUAAUGGGUUCAAUGUCA
Myodes glareolus (Bank vole) is the source of this 618-nucleotide non-coding RNA. Lineage: Eukaryota; Metazoa; Chordata; Mammalia; Rodentia; Cricetidae. The record is from the annotation of a RefSeq genome assembly.